RNA transcript from Gossypium arboreum, 1468 nucleotides. It is a transcript of the gene named factor of DNA methylation 1-like, with no coding region annotated. The record is from RefSeq and is a predicted model, not a curated record. NCBI's taxonomy places the organism in Eukaryota, Viridiplantae, Streptophyta, Magnoliopsida, Malvales, Malvaceae. The transcript is spliced from 8 exons.
AAUUAUGCCAAAUUACACAGUCCUAACCCUUGCCAUACAGCAAUUACAGUUGAUACCAUGAAAGUGAACAAGACAUCAGACACUGUAUAAUGAAGAAAACCCUAUACAUAUGAUAGCCUUCCACGUCAACAUCUAGAAUGAAAUACUGCAGCCUCGCAAUCUGAAUGUGAAUACUGCUCUGAAAGAUUGUUUUAAUUCGUGAAGCAUUAGGAUACAUGUGUUUGGAUUACAUCCGGUGAGAUGGAACAUCACACCGAAAACACCGCAAAAGAUAAAACAAUAGCAGCGUUUAUGGCAAACAAAAGUAAACAGUAGCGGUAUUUUUUCAUAAAUACCGCUAAAAGUAAAACAAUAGCAACCUUUAUGAGAAAAAUUUUUAAGAACCUAACCGUUUUUGCUAGGCUUAGUUUUAUCCCCAAAUUCCUUAACAUUUUCCCCUAAAAUUUUUCCCAAAUCUCUUUUUUUUUUUCCCUAGAAUUUCUGGUUCUGCCAUUUUGUCACCUAUGUCGCAUGCUUGUAACUUACUUAGCGUUUGAUGCCUGGCCGCAUAGAUGGUAUAUAUGAUCGGUUUGUGGAUACCCUUGCUAUUCAUGGAUUUUUCUUUCUGUGCAAGGAAUCGGGUACCAGAAAUGAGGUAUUAAUUGGACAGCGGAUCAAAGCAUGGUCUGCCUUUGAUAGCUGUUUCUAUUCAGGCACCGUGGAUGACUUUAACCCAGAAAAAACAACACUCACAAGAUUACAUGUGAUAGUGGGGAAGUUGAAAUAUUAUGCUUGGACAGUGAGAGCUGGGAGACAAUAAGUAACUGUUCUUUGAUGGAUAGGGAGGUUCAACCAUCAGAUGAGCAAAACACCUUGCAUUCACGGCAAUGUGUCAAAGACACAGUUGAUAAGUUAAGAAGUGAUGCCAGGCAAGAGUCUAAGACAAAAUUAAAUAUGGAGGAUAGCAAGGUUCCUUGCAGAGGUUUGCCAGAAUUUUUGGGUAACACUAAUAUUGGAUUAAAGAGAAUGGGAGAGCUUGAUCCAAAGGCUUUUCAUGACACUUGUAAGUCGCGAUUUCCUCCUGAUGAAGCGGAAAUUCAGGCCACUACUCUAUGCUUAUCAUGGCAGGAGAAUCUGAAGAAUCUAGAUUGGCAUCCAAUUUUCAGAAGAAACUAACAAAUCUAAAGCUGGAAUGGGGUGAAGAGAUUUAUAAUGCAGUGGUAACAGCUUUGAAAGAACUCUUUUGUAAUAACUUAUUGUAGUAUGCUUAUAGUUGAAGUUUCUUAUACUGAACAUCAUGUUGUUUAUUCGGCAGAAGUUUCAAAGAUUUUAGUUUUAGAAGAAAGUAUAUACUAAGAUUUUAGUUUUAGAAGAAAGUAUGUACUGUAGUCAUUAGCUUGGGUUUUCAAAGAUGAUUAUGUUAACAUUUUGAUCAAACAUUAUAAACAGUUCUCUAGUUAAUGUUUUUGAACUCAAAAACAAUUUAAAA